AUGAAGCAUGUUGUGAGGCAUGGUCAAUCAAGAUGGGAUUUCCCUUCUCUAAUUGAGAGUGAUAUGCAUGGCCAUGCUACGUACGGUUAAGAGUUAACCUACAAAGGGAUUCCGUAUCAUAGGAUCGAGAAAGAGCGGUCAGCUUGAAGCUAGACCAAAUAUCGUGAGGCAAAGGGAAUAUCAUGUACGUAAUGUUGUGACGGUUCAUCUGAUAUGAUCUUCGUGUGUGUAUAGGAGUUGGCACGUCUUGCUAGAGGCCGCUACCGACUAUUGGGCCCAGUAGGAGUACACGGACCAUGUCUAUACGUAUCCGAACCCAUAGGGUCACAC
This 330-nucleotide long non-coding RNA is filed under the name Setaria viridis. Its description in RNAcentral is "long non-coding RNA (SVIR_LNC004512)". The record is from RNAcentral. Lineage: Eukaryota; Viridiplantae; Streptophyta; Magnoliopsida; Poales; Poaceae.